RNAcentral lists this ribosomal RNA (216 nucleotides) under Campeiostachys nutans. Its description in RNAcentral is "Elymus nutans partial small subunit ribosomal RNA". The stretch from base 40 to 216 matches the Rfam family "Eukaryotic small subunit ribosomal RNA", at positions 686 to 864 of the family's 1831-position model. The record is from RNAcentral. Lineage: Eukaryota; Viridiplantae; Streptophyta; Magnoliopsida; Poales; Poaceae.
GGGUUAGUAGGUUGGUCAUGCCUCUGGUAUGUACUGGUCUCACUGAUUCCUCCUUCCUGAUGAACCUUAAUGCCAUUAAUUUGGUGUUUUGGGGAAUUUGGACUGUUACUUUGAAAAAAUUAGAGUGUUUAAAACAGGCAUACGCUUGAAUACAUUGGCAUGGAAUAACGAAAUAGGACGUUCGAUCCUAUUUUGUUGGUUUCUAGGAUUGACGUA